GUGGUUUAAUUCGAAGCAACGCGAAGAACCUUACCAGGUCUUGACAUCCCCUGACAACCGAGAGAUCGGGCGUUCCCCUUCGGGGGACAGGGUGACAGGUGGUGCAUGGUUGUCGUCAGCUCGUGUCGUGAGAUGUUGGGUUAAGUCCCGCAACGAGCGCAACCCUCGACCUUAGUUGCCAGCAUUCAGUUGGGCACUCUAAGGUGACUGCCGGCUAAAAGUCGGAGGAAGGUGGGGAUGACGUCAAGUCCUCAUGGCCUUUAUGACCAGGGCUACACACGUACUACAAUGGCCGGUACAAAGGGCAGCGACACAGCGAUGUGAAGCCAAUCCCGAAAAGCCGGUCUCAGUCCGGAUUGGAGUCUGCAACUCGACUCCAUGAAGUUGGAAUCGCUAGUAAUCGCGGAUCAGCACGCCGCGGUGAAUACGUUCCCGGGCCUU
Molecule: ribosomal RNA, 441 nt
Filed under: uncultured Anoxybacillus sp.
Lineage: Bacteria; Bacillati; Bacillota; Bacilli; Caryophanales; Anoxybacillaceae
Description: bacterial SSU rRNA
Rfam family: Bacterial small subunit ribosomal RNA
Source: RNAcentral